UCAGUCGUAAACUUUAACUUACAUCUUUCUCCUCGCCAGGGAACUACGAGCUAAGCUUAAAACCCAAAGGACUUGACGGUACCCCAUAUCCCCCUAGAGGAGCCUGUCCUAUAAUCGAUAACCCCCGUUUUACCUCACCAUUUUUUGUUAAUCAGCCUGUAUACCUCCGUCGUCAGCUUACCACGUGAGCGUGUGAGCUAAAUGUUUUUUCAACCACACGUCAGGUCAAGGUGCAGCAAAUAAAAUGGAAAGAGAUGGGCUACACUCUCUAUUCUAGAAUAAACAAAAGACUAAAAAUGAAACCCGGUCAGAAGGCGGAUUUAGCAGUAAAAUGAAACUAGAGCGUUCAUUUAAACAUGGCAC
RNAcentral lists this ribosomal RNA (363 nucleotides) under Epipedobates sp. MEC-1999. RNAcentral describes it as "partial 12S ribosomal RNA". The stretch from base 39 to 363 matches the Rfam family "Bacterial small subunit ribosomal RNA", at positions 875 to 1374 of the family's 1533-position model. Lineage: Eukaryota; Metazoa; Chordata; Amphibia; Anura; Dendrobatidae. The record is from RNAcentral.